AUGCUGGAGGUAUCAGAAGUGCGAAUGCUGACGUGAGUAACGACAAAACGGGUGAAAAACCCGUUCGCCGAAAGACCAAGGGUUCCAGUCCAACGUUAAUCGGGGCUGGGUGAGUCGACCCCUAAGGCGAGGCCGAAAGGCGUAGUCGAUGGGAAAAUGGUUAAUAUUCCAUUACUUCUGUGUAAUGCGAUGAGAGGACGGAGAAGGCUAAAUCAGCCUGGCGUUGGUUGUCCAGGUGAAAGGAUGUAGGCAUGUAUCUUAGGCAAAUCCGGGGUACUCUAUGCUGAGAUCUGAUAGCAAGCUGUACUUGUACAGCGAAGUGGUUGAUGCCAUGCUUCCAGGAAAAGUCUCUAAGCUUCAGUUACACAGGAAUCGUACCCGAAACCGACACAGGUGGUCAGGUCGAGUAGACCAAGGCGCUUGAGAGAACUCUGCUGAAGGAACUAGGCAAAAUGGUACCGUAACUUCGGGAGAAGGUACGCUGUUGUUGGUGAUGGAACUCGCUUCCUGAGCUGACGACAGCCGCAGAAACCAGGCCGCUGCAACUGUUUAUUAAAAACAUAGCACUCUGCAAACACGAAAGUGGACGUAUAGGGUGUGAUGCCUGCCCGGUGCUGGAAGGUUAAUUGAUGGGGUUAGCGUAAGCGAAGCUCUUGAUCGAAGCCCCAGUAAACGGCGGCCGUAACUAUAACGGUCCUAAGGUAGCGAAAUUCCUUGUCGGGUAAGUUCCGACCUGCACGAAUGGCAUAAUGAUGGCGGCGCUGUCUCCAGCAGAGGCUCAGUGAAAUCGAAAUCGCUGUGAAGAUGCAGUGUACCCGCGGCUAGACGGAAAGACCCCGUGAACCUUUACUGCAGCUUGACACUGAACUUUGACCUUACUUGUGUAGGAUAGGUGGGAGGCUUUGAAGCUGGAACGCUAGUUCCAGUGGAGCCGUCCUUGAAAUACCACCCUGGUAAUGUUGAGGUUCUAACUCUGUCCCGUGAUCCGGGACGAGGACCGUGUCUGGUGGGUAGUUUGACUGGGGCGGUCUCCUCCUAAAGAGUAACGGAGGAGUACGAAGGUGCGCUCAGCGUGGUCGGAAAUCACGCGUAGAGUAUAAAGGCAAAAGCGCGCUUAACUGCGAGACCCACAAGUCGAGCAGGUACGAA
RNAcentral lists this ribosomal RNA (1149 nucleotides) under Acinetobacter baumannii. Its description in RNAcentral is "bacterial LSU rRNA". It matches the Rfam family "Bacterial large subunit ribosomal RNA", at positions 1270 to 2403 of the family's 2925-position model. The record is from RNAcentral. Lineage: Bacteria; Pseudomonadati; Pseudomonadota; Gammaproteobacteria; Moraxellales; Moraxellaceae.